GGUGGCUCAGUGGUAGAGUGCUUGCCUUGCAGGCAUGAGGCCCAUGCAUGAGGUUCGAUUCCUCAGCACCA
Non-coding RNA from Dipodomys ordii (Ord's kangaroo rat), 71 nucleotides. NCBI's taxonomy places the organism in Eukaryota, Metazoa, Chordata, Mammalia, Rodentia, Heteromyidae. The record is from Rfam.